Molecule: non-coding RNA, 73 nt
Organism: Bos taurus (domestic cattle)
Lineage: Eukaryota; Metazoa; Chordata; Mammalia; Artiodactyla; Bovidae
Source: Rfam
UUCCUGGUGGUCCAGUGGUUAGGACUCAGUUCUUUCACUGCUUCAGGCCCAGGUUCAAUCCCUGGUCAGGGAA